CGCCUGUUUAACAAAAACAUGUCUUAUUGAAAAUAAUAUUAAGUCAAAUCUGCCCAUUGAUAAAUUUAAAAGGCUGCAGUAUAAAUAACUGUACAAAGGUAGCAUAAUAAUUAGUUUUAUAAUUGAAAUCUAGUAUGAAAGAUUAAAUGAAACAUAAACUAUAUAAAUAAAAAUAAAAAUUUAAAUUAAAUUUUAAGUUAAAAUUCUUAAAUUUAAUUAAAAGACGAGAAGACCCUUUAGAAUUUAAUAUAUAAAUUAAUUAAUCUUUAAUUUAAUAAAAUAAUAAAUAAAUUUAUAUAUUUAAUUGGGGUAAUUUUAAAAUUAAAUAAACUUUUAAACAUAAAUCCAUUAAUUAAUGUAAUAAUAAACCUAAAAUUUAGAAUUUUAAAAUAAAUUACCUUAGGGAUAACAGCGUAA
RNAcentral lists this ribosomal RNA (417 nucleotides) under Binodoxys centaureae. RNAcentral describes it as "partial 16S ribosomal RNA". Lineage: Eukaryota; Metazoa; Arthropoda; Insecta; Hymenoptera; Braconidae. The record is from RNAcentral.